RNAcentral lists this ribosomal RNA (373 nucleotides) under uncultured bacterium. RNAcentral describes it as "bacterial SSU rRNA". It matches the Rfam family "Bacterial small subunit ribosomal RNA", at positions 523 to 898 of the family's 1533-position model. The record is from RNAcentral.
AUACGGAGGAUGCAAGCGUUAUCCGGAUUCAUUGGGUUUAAAGGGUGCGCAGGCGGAAUGAUAAGUCAGUGGUGAAAUCUCCCGGCUCAACCGGGAAACUGCCAUUGAUACUGUCAUUCUUGAGUACAGUUGAAGUGGGCGGAAUGUGUCAUGUAGCGGUGAAAUGCUUAGAUAUGACACAGAACACCGAUAGCGAAGGCAGCUCACUAAGCUGUAACUGACGCUCAUGCACGAAAGCGUGGGGAUCAAACAGGAUUAGAUACCCUGGUAGUCCACGCUGUAAACGAUGAUCACUCGUUGUUGGCGAUAUACUGUCAGCGACUGAGCGAAAGCAUUAAGUGAUCCACCUGGGGAGUACGGCGGCAACGUUGAA